AAUCGGAUUGUAAACUGUAGAAGUGUUUUCCAGACACGCCUGGUAAAAAAGUCCUUUGGAACAGGGCAUCAUAGAGGGUGAGAAUCCCGUCAUUGGCCAGAGCUGUUGUCUUUUGUGAUACAUUUUCAAAGAGUCAGGUUGUUUGGGAAUGCAGCCUAAAUUGGGUGGUAAAUCUCACCUAAAGCUAAAUAUUUGCGAGAGACCGAUAGCGAACAAGUACCGUGAGGGAAAGAUGAAAAGAACUUUGAAAAGAGAGUUAAACAGUAUGUGAAAUUGUUAAAAGGGAACCGUUUGGAGCCAGACUGGCUUAAUCGUAAUCAAUCUAGGCUUUGGCCUGGAUGCACUUGCGGUUUAUGCCGGCCAACGACAGUUUUGUUUGGGAGAAAAAAUUACAUUGAAUGUGGCCCCUCGGGGUGUUAUAGCUUUGUAAAAAAUAUCCUGGACUGGACUGAGGAACGCAGUGAAUGCCUUUAGGCAAGAUUGCUGGGUGCUUUCGCUAAUACAUGCUAGAAUUUCUGCUUCGGGUGGUGCUAGUGUUUAAAGGAGGAACU
This 551-nucleotide ribosomal RNA is filed under the name Mucor hiemalis. RNAcentral describes it as "eukaryotic LSU rRNA". It matches the Rfam family "Eukaryotic large subunit ribosomal RNA", at positions 136 to 608 of the family's 3401-position model. Lineage: Eukaryota; Fungi; Mucoromycota; Mucoromycetes; Mucorales; Mucoraceae. The record is from RNAcentral.